UACAGAGGGUGCGAGCGUUAAUCGGAAUUACUGGGCGUAAAGCGCGCGUAGGCGGCUUUGCAAGCCGGAUGUGAAAUCCCCGGGCUUAACCUGGGAACUGCAUUCGGGACUGCAUUGCUAGAGUAUGGGAGAGGGAAGUGGAAUUUCAGGUGUAGCGGUGAAAUGCGUAGAUAUCUGAAGGAACAUCAGUGGCGAAAGCGACUUCCUGGACCAAUACUGACGCUCAGGCACGAAAGUGUGGGGAUCAAACAGG
RNAcentral lists this ribosomal RNA (253 nucleotides) under uncultured bacterium. RNAcentral's name for it is "partial 16S ribosomal RNA". It matches the Rfam family "Bacterial small subunit ribosomal RNA", at positions 524 to 776 of the family's 1533-position model. The record is from RNAcentral.